AACGCACAUUGCGCUCUCUGGUAUUCCGGAGAGCACGCCUGUUCGAGCGCCAUUUCACCCCCCAAGCUUUGCUUGAUGUUGGAUGAAGCAGUCUAAUUCAUUGCUCAUCUCAAACUUCUUUGGCGUCAUCAGUUGAGCACCAGCGCAGCAAGAAAACCUUCGCUUCGUGUCUCAGCUGGCGGUUGUCGUGAUGUAUAUCAAUUCAUCAGAUUGGCCUCGGAUCAGGUGGGGAUACCCGCUGAACUUAA
This 248-nucleotide unclassified non-coding RNA is filed under the name uncultured fungus. Its description in RNAcentral is "sequence contains ITS2". The record is from RNAcentral. Lineage: Eukaryota; Fungi.